GUGAUUGUUCAAGAUUGUAGAAAAGAAGAACAAAUUUGCCAUUUUUCUUGUUUGAACACCUUACUUAACCUGAGAAAAAUAGUGGUGUGAAAAAAAUCAGUUAUAUUCAACUUUUGCUUAACAAUGGGAAAAAAUGAUUUUAGUAUAUUUGUUCCAUGAAUUCGAAAUCUGAACUGAACACUUAUUACAUUGUACUGAAUUGACUAGACAAGUUAAAAAUGUUGAUACAAUUUCACUCACAUAAUAAGCUGGCAUGGUAAAAACUAUCUUUCACCGAAUCAGCUGUUUUUAAAGCACCUUCUACAUUUUUUUUUUACAGGAUUAAAGGAUCCUAAGUUUUAUUCUUCUUUGUACAAAUGCUAUAGUUAAUGGACAUGUUUACUUAAUGGAAAUUGGUCCAUGAACUAUGGCCAUAAUAGCAACAUGCAUAUAUAUAUGUAAAUGUAAAGCAUGGCAGAUGACACUCAUAAUAUGUACAUGGCAAGUUGGCACUGUUCAUCUGAUGGUUUACUGCUCGGGAAUUAAUGGACUUAUUAUAUAAUUUUUAAAAACAAAUUGUAAUUUUUCUUAUAAGUUAUUUUGAAUUUUUACCCAAUUUUUAAAAAAAUGACAGGAGCACCUUUUUUUUUUUUUUAUCUAUACGGAAAAAUGGGAUUUAAACAGGAUUUUUUUGAACAGAUCUGUUUAUCUUUAAUG
This 696-nucleotide long non-coding RNA is filed under the name Mytilus galloprovincialis (Mediterranean mussel). The record is from RNAcentral. Lineage: Eukaryota; Metazoa; Mollusca; Bivalvia; Mytilida; Mytilidae.